UACUUUUUUCAGUGGUUUUGUGACAUGACAUUGCCUUCCGGGGAGGCGCUGGCUCCCCCAUUCAAAUAUGACAUCUGUCUCCAGAAUCUUAUUCUUUUAUCUUUCUUUCUCACUCCAUUUUUUUAUUUGCCACUUUAGAAAACG
Molecule: non-coding RNA, 144 nt
Organism: Caenorhabditis elegans
Lineage: Eukaryota; Metazoa; Nematoda; Chromadorea; Rhabditida; Rhabditidae
Source: Ensembl